GGACCAGGGCAGGCCAGUGUCGCUUCUAGGGCUGCAAAGCUGUUCGCUCAGGUUCCUAGCCGGCUGCUUUUUGGCGUCGGGUCCUCAGCAUGGCUGCCUCCAGGGUUGAGAGCUGGGGAGCUGCCACACCCUCGUUUUGCUGACUGUUCCUGGAGUCUGUGUUCUUCUUGUCUUUCCUGGGCUACCCUAGCAGACAUGUUCGCUAAGGCCUUUCGGGUCAAGUCCAACACGGCCAUCAAGGGGUCGGACAGGAGAAAACUUCGGGCCGAUGUGACCGCUGCUUUCCCCACCCUUGGAACAGAUCAGGCCUCUGAGUUGAUACCUGGGAAGGAAGAGCUAAACGUGGUGAAGUUGUAUGCUCACAAAGGGGACGCAGUGACUGUGUACAUGAGUGGAGGGAACCCCAUCCUGUUUGAACUGGAGAAAAAUUUGUAUCCAACAGUGUACACACUGUGGUCAUAUCCUGAUCUUCUGCCAGCCUUUACAACAUGGCCUCUGGUACUUGAUAAGCUGGUCGGGGGAGCAGAUUUGAUGCUGCCAGGGGUAGUGGUGCCCCCUACUGGUCUGCCUGAGGUACAGCAAGGCGACCUCUGUGCCAUUGCCUUGGUGGGGAACAGAGCUCCUGUAGCAAUCGGAGUGGCUGCCAUGUCCACAGCUCAGAUGCUGGCAUCAGGCCUGAAGGGGAAGGGCUUCUCUGUGCUCCACACUUAUCAGGACCACUUGUGGAAAUCUGGAGACAAGUCCUCUCCACCUGCCAUUGCCCCAUUGGCAGUGAAUCCCACAGAUAGCAAUGAAGAGAAGGUGGACCUUAGUCUGCAAGGAAACCUGAGCUGCCUUACCCUGGAGGGAGAGGAGGAGAACAGGAAGGUUCAUCACCCAGAAGCAUCUGAAGACACCAGCUCCGGGGCCCAGAGCCAGGACUGUGUGGAUGGCAAGCCCCUUCAAGAACAAAUGGAUGAGCUGUUACACCAGUGCUUCCUGCAUGCCUUGAAGAGUCGAGUCAAAAAAGCUGACCUCCCUUUGCUCACUAGUACUCUCCUUGGCAGUCACAUGUUCUCCUGCUGCCCCAAAGGACAGCAACUGGACAUAAAGAAGUCAAGCUAUAAAAAGCUCUCAAAGUUCCUGCAGCAUAUGCAGCAGGAGCAGAUUGUUCAGAUCAAGGAGCUGAGCAAAGGAGUGGAAAGCAUUGUGGCUGUGGACUGGAGGCACCCGAGGAUCACAUCUUUUGUCAUCCCCGAGCCUUCCCUGACUUCCCAGACUGUCCAGGAGGGUAGCAGGGAACAGCCCUAUCACCCUCCAGAUAUAAAAUCCCUCUACUGUGUCCCAGCCAACAUGACCCAGCUCUUCCAGGAGUCUGGCCACAAGAAGGGGAACGCGCUUGAGGGCAGUGAGGUACGCAGGAUCAUCAUUGACUAUGCCAAGAAGAACAACCUGGUGGAUGCAGACAACAGAAAUCUGGUGAAAUUGGAUCCUAUCUUAUGUGACUGCAUCUUAGAGAAAAAUGAACAGCACGUGGUCAUGAAGCUGCCAUGGGACUGCCUCCUGACCAGGUGUUUGCAAAAUAUGCAGCCUGCCUACCAAGUGACGUUUCCUGGACAGGAACCCAUUCUGAAGAAAGGAAAACUCUGUCCAAUUGACAUCACCCUUGCACAGAAGGCUUGUAAUAAAAAGGUGACUGUGGUCCGGAACUUGGAGACCUAUGGUCUUGACCCAUGCUCAGUGGCUGCCGCUCUCCAGCUGCGAUGUCAGGCCAGCACCAUCGUCUCUCCUGCCCCUGGGGCCAAAGACAGUCUACAGGUGCAGAUCCAAGGAAACCAGAUCCACCACCUUGGCCAGCUAUUGCUUGAAGAGUAUCGGCUCCCUGGAAAAUACAUCCAAGGCCUAGAAAAGGCCCCCAAACCUGGCAAGAAGUGACAGACUCAUUUUAUGCAGUGGAUCCCAUGGGAACCCAGGUUCUGAGCUGGAUAGUUAAGAAGUUCUGGAGUUCAGGAAUGGAAAAGGCAUCCCACUGUGAGGCAGGGAGGAAGAAGUGGAAAAACAAGGAGAAAUGGUUAGAGGUUGACAUGACCCAAGGGCCCUGCCACUGUCUCCAGCCUACAUCAGUGAGCCAGCCCCACGCAGUUUGAACAUGCAGAGAACUGGGUGUGGGGCUGAAGACCUGGAGGACAGCUGGGUCCAUCUGAAUUGCAUCAGGAACCAUGGUCCAAAGGGACAAGAGCUCCCCUCCGUCCCCUCUGCUGCUCCGCUCUGCUCUUCUCGGUGCUUGCAACCUGCUUUCUCCUUGUGUCAGCCAGACCUCGCCUCAGCCAAGCUCAAACAGGUCUUCAUUUCCUCUCUCUUAGCAUGUCUGUCAGCAGCAGCUGUCGGGCCCCUGAGUGGAAACCUCUAAGCCCAAGCCAGGGAGAGAGCUGCAGGCAUGUACCGUGAACAAAAGGCCAUGCAGAGGCCCUCCUGUCCCCCUGGGGUUUCUGUUGCACUUGCCCUAAAUGGGAACCUGGGGAUGGGGAAGGAGAGACACCCACAUCUGUCUAGGCUGGGUUUAAAAUGCCAGGAUCAAUAUACAAGCACAGUAAAGGCUACAGGUCCCUUUGUGACAGCCUCAACAAGAUACAAAGGGGAUUCUCCAGUGAGACACACUGUCCGGUCCCUUCCUAGUUCCAAAAUCAGUCCCUUCCAAAAUGCCCAUGUUCUGGGGGGUUCCUCUGUUCUACCCAUGACAAUAAAAGGGUUCAUUCCA
This is a non-coding RNA of Cricetulus griseus (Chinese hamster), 2737 nucleotides long. The record is from RefSeq and is a predicted model, not a curated record. Lineage: Eukaryota; Metazoa; Chordata; Mammalia; Rodentia; Cricetidae.